Paramuricea clavata is the source of this 269-nucleotide non-coding RNA. The record is from the annotation of a GenBank genome assembly. NCBI's taxonomy places the organism in Eukaryota, Metazoa, Cnidaria, Anthozoa, Malacalcyonacea, Plexauridae.
UCAGUUUGAAGUUGUAGCUACCAGCAAACAACGACUUGGUUUGUUGGGUGUUAUAUUGAUACCCAGGUGGAGGUUGAUAUGUGUGACCAAGGUUGCUAUAUGAACUUUGGUUGCUGCUGGCAUUGUUAUAGAUGACCAGAUCACCGAAACUACCAAAUACUGCUCCAUAAGAAGAAUUACAGUAGAUUGCGUUGCCAUUUUUACCGUUAAUGAUCGGACAUUUGAACGGUUGCAUGUUGUUUGGGUUUCUUAAUGAGAACAAAAAUGAU